Molecule: long non-coding RNA, 605 nt
Organism: Ictalurus punctatus (channel catfish)
Lineage: Eukaryota; Metazoa; Chordata; Actinopteri; Siluriformes; Ictaluridae
Source: Ensembl
GAGAGUAAGACAGUAGGAGAGUAAGACAGUAGGACAGUAGGACAGUAAGACAGUAGGAGAGUAAGACAGUAAGACAGUAGGACAGUAAGACAGUACGAGAGUAAGACAGUAGGAGAGUAAGACAGUAGGACGGUAAGACAGUAGGUAGGUAAGACAGUAAGACAGUAGGACAGUAAGACAGUAAGACAGUAGGACAGUAAGACAGUAGGAGAGUAGACAGUAGGACAGUAAGACAGUAGGAGAGUAAGACAGUAGGAGAGUAAGACAGUAAGACAGUAGGACAGUAAGACAGUAAGACAGUAGGAGAGUAAGACAGUAAAGACAGUAGGACAGUAAGACAGUAGGACAGUAAGCCAGUAAGACAGUAAGAGAGUAAGACAGUAGGACAGUAAGACAGUAGGAGAGUAAGACAGUAAGACAGUAGGACAGUAAGACAGUAAGACAGUAGGAGAGUAAGACAGUAAGACAGUAGGACAGUAAGACAGUAGGACAGUAAGACAGUAGGAGAGUAAGACAGUAAGACAGUAGGACAGUAAGACAGUAGGACAGUAAGACAGUAGGACAGUAAGACAGUAGGAGAGUAUGACAGUAGGACAGUAAGACAG